This 207-nucleotide ribosomal RNA is filed under the name uncultured bacterium. RNAcentral describes it as "partial 16S ribosomal RNA". It matches the Rfam family "Bacterial small subunit ribosomal RNA", at positions 568 to 774 of the family's 1533-position model. The record is from RNAcentral.
AGCGCAGGCGGACCGGCAAGUUGGAAGUGAAAACUAUGGGCUCAACCCAUAAAUUGCUUUCAAAACUGCUGGCCUUGGGUAGUGCAGAGGUAGGUGGAAUUCCCGGUGUAGCGGUGGAAUGCGUAGAUAUCGGGAGGAACACCAGUGGCGAAGGCGACCUACUGGGCACCAACUGACGCUGAGGCUCGAAAGCAUGGGUAGCAAACA